GAUGAACGCUGGCGGCGUGCCUAAUACAUGCAAGUCGAGCGAACAGACGAGGAGCUUGCUCCUCUGACGUUAGCGGCGGACGGGUGAGUAACACGUGGAUAACCUACCUAUACGACUGGGAUAACUUCGGGAAACCGGAGCUAAUACCGGAUAAUAUAUUGAACCGCAUGGUUCAAUAGUGAAAGACGGUUUUGCUGUUACUUAUAGAUGGAUCCGCGCCGCAUUAGCUAGUUGGUAAGGUAACGGCUUACCAAGGCGACGAUGCGUAGCCGACCUGAGAGGGUGAUCGGCCACACUGGAACUGAGACACGGUCCAGACUCCUACGGGAGGCAGCAGUAGGGAAUCUUCCGCAAUGGGCGAAAGCCGGACGGAGCAACGCCGCGUGAGUGAUGAAGGUCUUCGGAUCGUAAAACUCUGUUAUUAGGGAAGAACAAAUGUGUAAGUAACUAUGCACGUCUUGACGGUACCUAAUCAGAAAGCCACGGCUAACUACGUG
This 497-nucleotide ribosomal RNA is filed under the name uncultured bacterium. RNAcentral's name for it is "partial 16S ribosomal RNA". It matches the Rfam family "Bacterial small subunit ribosomal RNA", at positions 28 to 507 of the family's 1533-position model. The record is from RNAcentral.